Molecule: ribosomal RNA, 433 nt
Filed under: uncultured bacterium
Lineage: Bacteria
Description: partial 16S ribosomal RNA
Rfam family: Bacterial small subunit ribosomal RNA
Source: RNAcentral
AAUGAACGCUGGCGGCAUGCCUAACACAUGCAGGUCGAACGAAGGCUUCGGCCUUAGUGGCGCACGGGUGCGUAACGCGUGGGAAUCUGCCCUUGGGUUCGGAAUAACAGUUAGAAAUGACUGCUAAUACCGGAUGAUGUCGUAAGACCAAAGAUUUAUCGCCCGAGGAUGAGCCCGCGUAGGAUUAGCUAGUUGGUGGGGUAAAGGCCUACCAAGGCGACGAUCCUUAGCUGGUCUGAGAGGAUGAUCAGCCACACUGGGACUGAGACACGGCCCAGACUCCUACGGGCGGCAGCAGUGGGUGAUAUUGGACAAUGGGCGAAAGCCUGAUCCAGCACUGCCGCGUGAGUGAUGAAGGCCUUAGGGUUGUAAAGCUCUUUUACCCGGGAUGAUAAUGACAGUACCGGGAGAAUAAGCUCCGGCUAACUUCGUG